This 73-nucleotide transfer RNA is filed under the name Acidimicrobiia bacterium. Its description in RNAcentral is "tRNA-Thr". It matches the Rfam family "tRNA". Rfam says of the family: Transfer RNA (tRNA) molecules are approximately 80 nucleotides in length. Lineage: Bacteria; Bacillati; Actinomycetota; Acidimicrobiia. RNAcentral also lists the same sequence under 1 other name. The record is from RNAcentral.
GCCCGGGUAGCUCAGCUGGCAGAGCAACGCUCUUGUAAAGCGUAGGUCAGGAGUUCGAUCCUCCUCCCGGGCU